RNAcentral lists this long non-coding RNA (265 nucleotides) under Homo sapiens (human). RNAcentral describes it as "non-protein coding lnc-THY1-1:1". Lineage: Eukaryota; Metazoa; Chordata; Mammalia; Primates; Hominidae. The record is from RNAcentral.
CUUGGCCCUCCCAUCCAGCACCACAAAGUCUCCAUGUGGUGUGGUUCCCACCUGGCUCUCAGAGAUGGGAUCCCCUUUUUCUGCCAAGUUAUAUUUCAGUGCACUGAUUCUCAGGCUCCUUGAACAAAGAGAGCUCCCAGAUGCUACUGUCUUGCAGCAGUGGCUCACUGUCCUCAUCACUGCCCCAUUCUGGGAUGUUGGUCAGGCUGUCACUGCCACUGCUGCUAUAUUUUUGAACUCCCCUGCCUUUCCUGUAUUCAGGGAU